CUAGCGGCAGGCUUAAUACAUGCAAGUCGUGGGGUAGCGCAGUGUAGCAAUACAUGGGCGACGACCGGCAAACGGGUGCGUAACACGUACGCAAUCUACCCAUUACAGGGGAAUAGCCCAGGGAAACUUGGAUUAAUACCCCAUAUUAUAUAGAGUUGGCAUCAGCUUUAUAUCAAAGCUUCGGCGGUAAUGGAUGAGCGUGCGGUUGAUUAGAUAGUUGGCGGGGUAACGGCCCACCAAGUCUACGAUCAAUAGCUGAUGUGAGAGCAUGAUCAGCCACACGGGCACUGAGACACGGGCCCGACUCCUACGGGAGGCAGCAGUAAGGAAUAUUGGGCAAUGGACGCAAGUCUGACCCAGCCAUGCCGCGUGAAGGAUGAAGGUCCUCUGGAUUGUAAACUUCUUUUAUCUGGGGCGAAAACAACUCUUUCUAGAGUUCUUGACAGUACCAGAGGAAUAAGCACCGGCUAACUCCGUGCCAGCAGCCGCGGUAAUACGGAGGGUGCGAGCGUUAUCCGGAUUCACUGGGUUUAAAGGGUGCGUAGGCGGGCUAGUAAGUCAGUGGUGAAAUCCCCGAGCUUAACUUGGGAACUGCCGUUGAUACUAUUAGUCUUGAAUAUCGUGGAGGUAAGCGGAAUAUGUCAUGUAGCGGUGAAAUGCUUAGAUAUGACAUAGAACACCAAUUGCGAAGGCAGCUUGCUACACGAUUAUUGACGCUGAGGCACGAAAGCGUGGGGAUCAAACAGGAUUAGAUACCCUGGUAGUCCACGCCCUAAACGAUGAUUACUCGACAUCAGCGAUA
RNAcentral lists this ribosomal RNA (802 nucleotides) under uncultured Bacteroidota bacterium. Its description in RNAcentral is "bacterial SSU rRNA". It matches the Rfam family "Bacterial small subunit ribosomal RNA", at positions 36 to 831 of the family's 1533-position model. The record is from RNAcentral. Lineage: Bacteria; Pseudomonadati; Bacteroidota.